Molecule: ribosomal RNA, 366 nt
Filed under: Ophiocoma echinata
Lineage: Eukaryota; Metazoa; Echinodermata; Ophiuroidea; Amphilepidida; Ophiocomidae
Description: partial 16S ribosomal RNA
Rfam family: Bacterial large subunit ribosomal RNA
Source: RNAcentral
CGGUGAUAUAAUUAAACGGCUGCAGUACUCUGACUGUGCAAAGGUAGCAUGAUCAAUUGUCUGGUAAUUCCAGUCUGGUAUGAAUGGUUAGACGAUAGGAACGCUGUCUUUUUCUCUUUUGUUGAAAUUAACUACCAGGUGCGGAGGCCUGGAUUGGAGAGUGGGACGAGAAGACCCUAUAGAGCUUUAACUUUAGCUAUAAAAUCAUUGUUAUGGUGUGUGUUUUAGUUGGGGCAACUAUUCUUAUUAUUAAACAUUUAUAGUAAUCUAGUAAAUUUAAUUUGUGUGGACCCUAAAUUUUUAGGUAGUUAGAAAAAGUUACCUUAGGGAUAACAGCGUAAAAUUUCUCUUGAGAGUUCUUAUUAA